RNAcentral lists this long non-coding RNA (1754 nucleotides) under Salvia miltiorrhiza (redroot sage). Its description in RNAcentral is "long non-coding RNA (SMIL_LNC007765)". Lineage: Eukaryota; Viridiplantae; Streptophyta; Magnoliopsida; Lamiales; Lamiaceae. The record is from RNAcentral.
AAGCGAAUAAAAAUAAAAUGAAAAUGGGACAAAUAUAGUAUAUAUUUCUCAGUUUCAACAAGUGCUAAUGAUUCUAAGGAAAACUCGAUAAAAAAAACUUCGUAUUCCAAACAUGGUUGAAGGUAUAGAAAGAAAAAAGUAGCAAGUAUUCCUAGUAACUCACUUACACCAUGUUAGGUCUUUGGGGAAGCAAAAGAUUGUAGAACUUAUCGUGCAAGAAGAAAUGCUUCCCCUUGCUAUCGACCGCCUUCUUCCAUCCACACCAGCCGCCAUUCACUAUCUUCUUUAGGUCGUCAUUGCCUGUGUAGUGAGGGUCGAGUAUGAGAAACGCGCAGUCUCCACUUGUUUCGUUGUAGUCGACCCCCAAUAGUGUAUAAGCCAAAAAACCCUCCUCCUGCAGAGAUACGAGAACAGCUUAGAGCCGUAUUCUUGAAACAAAAAUACGUAGUCUGUGAUUAGCUUCUAACCGAUCAUGACUGGGUGUGCCUUGCGUCUCAAAAUGCAAGGCAAGCUCCCGACAUUUCUCCGGGAGCUCAGAUCCUGACCUCACGCUGAUAACUUUGCAAAUGACCUGUCAAGGUUGGGGUUUCAUUGCUUGAGUUAGCGAAAUCAUCGAUGCAUACGCAAAUGCCUUGAGAUGAAACUAGGAAAUUUCUUAAAAUUGCAAGUACAUGUUGACGUAGGAAAGCAAAUGAAAGGGAAAAGAAGUUGAAAGAUAUAUAUGUAUAGGUCGAAGUUUCUUCUUGAAAGAUAAGUACUUACUCCAAGUAGCUUGUCCAAAACAAAACUUAACUCGAUGGCGCCAAUCCAUUCGCGUGAGCCAAUGAAGGACGGGUCCUUGUCACCAACCUCGACCAGCGACUGUUGUAUUUCUCUGAAAUAAUACAACAUUAUUUAUGAGAUAAAUUGGAACUUUGAGAUGCUAGAUGAGGAAAUAUAUGAGCAAGUCUAUUUCCUUUUCCAGUAACAGCAGUUAUGAUGAAAAUAUGGCAUCAUUCAACUCAGACAACUCUUAGUAAAAACCAAGUACAAAAAUACUAGCAACCCCAAAUUGUCUCCUCUUUUAGCGUCUCGAAUAAACUACGUUCUGUCAAUAGGCCUCAAAUACUUUUCUAGGAGCAUAUACGAUGUUUACACCAAUAAUCGAAUUUGAGCCAGAAGACAUGGACAUUUACCAGAUGAGCUCUACAAAUGAGUUAAAGAGUUCCAUGCGAAAGUACCUAUGCGAGGGGACAUCAACGGUAGUAUAGUGUUGCUGCUUGAACCAUGAAACAAUUGUUUGCAGAGAGCGGUAAGCACAACCCCAGCCCUGAGCAUGUUAAUUACAAUUGUUAAUCAAAAUGAAAAAUUUAAGCAGAAUAAUAAUCUGAGAUGACUAGCUGAAUCCAUUUGAAAGUGACCAAAAUCAUACAAAGGCCAGUUUCACCUGCAACAAGUAAGCUGUUUGGAGCACUGACAUUUAAAGGAACACAGUUGCCUUACAUAAACAGUAAUUCCAGCUAUUGAAAAUGGGGUAACAANAUAAAAAUAAAAUGAAAAUGGGACAAAUAUAGUAUAUAUUUCUCAGUUUCAACAAGUGCUAAUGAUUCUAAGGAAAACUCGAUAAAAAAAACUUCGUAUUCCAAACAUGGUUGAAGGUAUAGAAAGAAAAAAGUAGCAAGUAUUCCUAGUAACUCACUUACACCAUGUUAGGUCUUUGGGGAAGCAAAAGAUUGUAGAACUUAUCGUGCAAGAAGAAAUGCUUCCCCUUGCUA